CUAACACAUGCAAGUCGAGCGGUAGCGGGCCUGACCACUCUCGAGUGGUUCAGGUGCCGACGAGCGGCGGACGGGUGCGUAACACGUAGGAAUCUGCCCGGUAGUGGGGGAUAGCCCGGAGAAAUUCGGAUUAAUACCGCAUACGCCCUAAGGGGGAAAGCAGGGGAUCGGUUCGCCGACCUUGCGCUAUCGGAUGAGCCUGCGUCGGAUUAGCUAGUUGGUGGGGUAAAGGCCUACCAAGGCGACGAUCCGUAGCUGGUCUGAGAGGAUGAUCAGCCACACUGGGACUGAGACACGGCCCAGACUCCUACGGGAGGCAGCAGUGGGGAAUAUUGCACAAUGGGCGAAAGCCUGAUGCAGCCAUGCCGCGUGUGUGAAGAAGGCCCUAGGGUUGUAAAGCACUUUCAGUGGGGAGGAAAGGUCGAAGGUUAAUACCCUUUGGCUGUGACGUUACCCACAGAAGAAGCACCGGCUAACUCCGUGCCAGCAGCCGCGGUAAUACGGAGGGUGCGAGC
RNAcentral lists this ribosomal RNA (515 nucleotides) under uncultured bacterium. Its description in RNAcentral is "bacterial SSU rRNA". It matches the Rfam family "Bacterial small subunit ribosomal RNA", at positions 48 to 539 of the family's 1533-position model. The record is from RNAcentral.